RNAcentral lists this ribosomal RNA (470 nucleotides) under uncultured Anaerolineaceae bacterium. Its description in RNAcentral is "bacterial SSU rRNA". It matches the Rfam family "Bacterial small subunit ribosomal RNA", at positions 897 to 1382 of the family's 1533-position model. The record is from RNAcentral. Lineage: Bacteria; Bacillati; Chloroflexota; Anaerolineae; Anaerolineales; Anaerolineaceae.
AAACUUAAAGGAAUUGACGGGGACCCGCACAAGCAGCGGAGCGUGUGGUUUAAUUCGUUGCUACACGAAGAACCUUACCUGGGUUUGACAUAUAGGUUGUAGGGAACUGAAAGGGACCGACCCUUCGGGGAGCCUAUACAGGUGUUGCAUGGCUGUCGUCAGCUCGUGUCGUGAGAUGUUCGGUUAAGUCCGCUAACGAGCGCAACCCUCGUCGUAUGUUAUAUGUGUCAUACGAGACUGCCGGUAAAAGCCGGAGGAAGGUGAGGAUGAUGUCAAGUCAGCAUGACCUUUAUAUCCAGGGCUACACACACGCUACAAUGGUCUGUACAAUGGGUAGCCAAGCCGCGAGGCGGAGCCAAUCCUGAAAGCAGGCCUCAGUUCAGAUUGCAGUCUGCAACUCGACUGCAUGAAGCCGGAGUUGCUAGUAACCGCAGGUCAGCAAUACUGCGGUGAAUACGUUCCCGGGACUU